GCCGAUGUAGCUCAGUCCGGUAGAGCAGCUCAUUCGUAAUGAGCAGGUCAGGGGUUCGAAUCCCCUCGUCGGCU
RNAcentral lists this transfer RNA (74 nucleotides) under Candidatus Dadabacteria bacterium. Its description in RNAcentral is "tRNA-Thr". It matches the Rfam family "tRNA". Rfam says of the family: Transfer RNA (tRNA) molecules are approximately 80 nucleotides in length. Their secondary structure includes four short double-helical elements and three loops (D, anti-codon, and T loops). Lineage: Bacteria; Pseudomonadati; Thermodesulfobacteriota; Candidatus Dadabacteria. The record is from RNAcentral.